Molecule: ribosomal RNA, 253 nt
Filed under: uncultured bacterium
Lineage: Bacteria
Description: partial 16S ribosomal RNA
Rfam family: Bacterial small subunit ribosomal RNA
Source: RNAcentral
UACGUAGGGGGCAAGCGUUGUCCGGAAUCAUUGGGCGUAAAGAGCGUGUAGGCGGUCCGGUAAGUCGGCUGUGAAAGUCCAGGGCUCAACCCUGGGAUGCCGGUCGAUACUGCCGGACUAGAGUUCGGAAGAGGCGAGUGGAAUUCCCGGUGUAGCGGUGAAAUGCGCAGAUAUCGUAAGGAAGACCAGUGGCGAAGGCGGGUCUCUGGACAGUUCCUGACGCUGAGGCACGAAGGUCAGGGGAGCAAACGGG